Molecule: long non-coding RNA, 2034 nt
Organism: Ictalurus punctatus (channel catfish)
Lineage: Eukaryota; Metazoa; Chordata; Actinopteri; Siluriformes; Ictaluridae
Source: Ensembl
CUUAUACAUCUCAUCAUCCUGAUGUUUUUAAUGUAAGGUGUGUGUGUGUGUGUGUGUUGAACAGUUGUGUAACCCUCAGUCUAUAGUAGUACAGAAGUGCGUGUUUUGAGGCAUACCCAUUGUAGUGUAUGUGUUGUGUUGUACAUGCCGGUUUGAGUCAGUUCCUGGGUUUCUCGGUUCCUCUCUCCAGUUCUUGUAGUAAACAACCCAGCCAUGUGGGCAGGAUGUGAGCUGUGAUUGGCUGAAAGGCGAUUCGUAAGACUCACACCCUAAAAUCCCGACUUGUUUACGCCAGACUGGUGGCCAGGGUUGCCAGAUUGUUCUCCCAAACCCGGCUUCUUCUUCUUUGUUUUUAAACUUCAUUCCUGGAAAUAAAAACGUGUUGUUAUACUCGGGUAUAUUUCUGGGAGCAUUUUUGCUUGAUUAUUUUUCACUCAAUACUCAGCAUUCAUGUGUCAGAGCUACAGUUUGUUGUGCAUUAAGGAGGAAUUUCAUUUCUAGACUGAGAGUCAAAAGAAAAUCCCAUGCAAUUUGGCAACCCUGCGUGCAGGAGGCAUUGGCCACAAUGGCAAAGAAGGUAUUUUUGCAGAGUAGAUCAUCUAAAAAAGGAAGAGAAAUCUCAAGAACAAAUGUAAAUUUCACAGCAUAAUGGCAGAAUAAUGUGCACGCAUUUUCACUCACAAGUGCAUGCUUUAGUAAUAGUAGUAGUGCCACAGAAGUCCAGGUGCAAUACCAAUGCCACAAUGCCAUGUUUGCACUUUAAUCAUUAAUCAAGUGCAUGAGAAUUCCACUUUGUUUGGAUGUUCAGAUGAGCUGCAGUGAGAUGUGCAGAGCAGCAUGCAUGCUUGCAGGGGCAACAGGGAAGUGAUUACAUAACUGCUCCAUAGCAUAGCUCAGUGUGGUUUCUAAUUACACACACACCAUAAAUCCUUAAUCCGUAAACACAAAUCCAGCAACUCCACCCUCGCGCUCUUCUUUUACUCUCUUUAAAAGAGACAGAGAGAUAAGUUGCACGAAAAGCAACCAUUUAAAAAAAUGUUAUAUAGAUGACAACCCAUAGCUUUUCAUCGGUUAUGUAGGUUACUGUAGUGCAGCCUGUAAAUGAGUGCUCGUGACGUCAUGCAUGCACGUAACGGAGUUGUGUGUUUGUUUGUUUGUUGCAUGCAUAUUUUUUUUCUCUCUCUUGGAUCGCACAAGUGAUGGUGUUCUUUUUUUUUUUUGGUUAACCCUGCUGUGUUCUUGCAUGCACGCGCACACCCAGUGGACGACUCUUACGUGCGCGCUGAUGAGUAACUGCUGUGCAGUUGCACUGCGAAUAAAAGAACGUGUACGUGCAGAACGUGCAGAAGAGCACAUGGCUCCGCGAGCUCGCGCUGCACGUCGCAUCACAAGCUCCACCUCCCCGCCCCCCUUCACCGUGAGCUCCGACUCUGGUAUGACUGGGUCACGCCUAAUUCCUGACAGAUUCCUUCAAGCUGACAAACUUGACCGUGCUGUCCUGGAAUGUUGCCGUAGUAAAGGAGCAGACGAAUGAAGAGCCCCAGAGCGAGAAGGACAACGAGACUCGUAGCCGAGACGCGUUCCACGGCGGCCCUCACCUCUGGCAGCUGGUACAGAGAGCGAGGAGCGUGAUGGCCAGGACGAUGAGGAUGACCGCGGAGAGGAGCGCCAUCCCCGGGAGGUUUGCCGCUUCCCACGCCUGUAGGUUGACGUAGAUGGCUGCCAUGAUCCUGAUUCUAAAGAAGUCUAGAAAGAAACCCGAGUGAUGUGUUAUGGGUGAUGAGUUACGGGCUGUAAAGGUGUAAAACUGUCUGUUUGAUGUGAAGGUUCUCACAGUGUCUGAUCAUGGCAAGAGGAAAUGACGUAUAUUCACCGAAGGAUAUUAUUUUGUUUUCACAGUAACGCUUGGGCAGAAAACAUCUGCAUCCACAAUGAACACGUUACACCUAUAUAUUUAAUAGCUUAUUUAAUUCAUCAAUGCAUGUUUAUGUGAUGGAGCUGGAGACUAAUCCCAGGAAUACUGGGAUCGCGUUG